This is a non-coding RNA of Paramuricea clavata, 638 nucleotides long. The record is from the annotation of a GenBank genome assembly. NCBI's taxonomy places the organism in Eukaryota, Metazoa, Cnidaria, Anthozoa, Malacalcyonacea, Plexauridae.
CAUUGGGCCAAUACGACGGAAUGAAGUUCACAACCAAAGACAGAGAUAAUGACGAAAAGAGUGAAUUUAACUGCGCUAGGAACAACAAAGGUGCCUGGUGGUACAGACACUGUGCCUACUCCAAUCUCAAUGGUGUGUAUUUCACAACAGGUUAUAGUGGUCACUCAGAAGGAAUUUACUGGUACCAUUGGAAAAAGGAGUAUACAAGCUCCAUGAAAAAAGUGGAGAUGAAAAUACAUCAAAAUUAGAAACACAUUCGUACAACAACACCAUUUGCGGAAAAGAUUACUAAGUUUAAAUUACCUGAAUAUAAAUAGAUUAGGGCACUAAACUGGAUAAUUACUGGCCAGCACACAAUUUUACUUAUAAGUAAAUGGAUAUUUAUGCCUGUAAAUAGGGUGGUAAAGAGUAUUUUUGUGAAACGUGAAAUUUCGUAAUUGUGUGUCGUGAAACCAGAGGCGUAGCCAGGAUUUUCCGUCAGAGGGGGCCGGCAAAAACCCAGGUGGGGCCAAGCCGCCAGUGACUCGAGACGCAAAGUUCGCGCAAGAAAAAAUUUUGCGGACCACACAACAUUUUAAAUCUCCCUCCUUCCCCCCCUCCGUCGACAACUUUUUCGGUAAAAAAAUUUUCUGGACAAU